RNAcentral lists this ribosomal RNA (500 nucleotides) under uncultured bacterium. Its description in RNAcentral is "partial 16S ribosomal RNA". It matches the Rfam family "Bacterial small subunit ribosomal RNA", at positions 30 to 523 of the family's 1533-position model. The record is from RNAcentral.
AUUGAACGCUGGCGGCAUGCCUUACACAUGCAAGUCGAACGGCAGCACGGGAGCAAUCCUGGUGGCGAGUGGCGAACGGGUGAGUAAAGUAUCGGAACGUGCCCAGUCGUGGGGGAUAACGUAGCGAAAGUUACGCUAAUACCGCAUACGAUCUAUGGAUGAAAGCGGGGGAUCGCAAGACCUCGCGCGAUUGGAGCGGCCGAUAACAGAUUAGGUAGUUGGUGGGGUAAAGGCUCACCAAGCCGACGAUCUGUAGCUGGUCUGAGAGGACGACCAGCCACCCUGGGACUGAGACACGGCCCAGACUCCUACGGGAGGCAGCAGUGGGGAAUUUUGGACAAUGGGCGAAAGCCUGAUCCAGCCAUGCCGCGUGCAGGAUGAAGGCCUUCGGGUUGUAAACUGCUUUUGUACGGAACGAAAAGGUUUGGCCUAAUAAGCUGAGCUCAUGACGGUACCGUAAGAAUAAGCACCGGCUGACUACGUGCCAGCCGCCGCAGUAA